AAGGAGACAGGCUAUGCAAUUAGAUUUAGAUCACUCUUAUGUUUGCGGUACGUUUCAGAUAAAUAUUUCUGAUGGGAUCACGACUUGGCAACCAGUGCUGUCUGGCAGUCCAUGUGAGAAUGGAGUUAGUCAUCUAGUUGAAGAAGUUCAUUUAAAAGCUCAGACCUUCCCAGCAGAACACGCAGCUUCUGAGAUGCACAAAGUCCUGCCCACCUUCUGUCAUUAAGUAUCUUGUAGUAUCAUCAGCCAGAGUAGGAUGGUGGUUCUUGAGUUCUGGACAAAAUCCACAUCUGACAUCUUAAAUUCCUUAAGGAAUUCAAACAGUUAACAAAGAUUCUUCUUGUACUUUGUUCUACAGAGAGCUUUGUUAUCAGUAGAAACAAACAUAACUCUUGUGCAGCACUUGUCCCUGACUCUGAAAGGACUCACGCAUGUGAUUAGAUUUCAGUGGAGCAGCUUAUGUAUAAAUUUAAGCAAGAAUUUGUUACAGAACUCGAACGAUUGUGAAUAAGAUGCAUAGUACCCCUGGGAUAUUGUGAUGAAAGGUGGUGUUAUCUGUUUUAGUCAUAUCAGAUGUGUUGGUUUUACAUGAAUGCUAUGGUUGUAGUCAAUUCAUUUUCUAAUGUUUGGAAAAAAAGAUACAAACCCUGGCUGGCCUAAAAGAGGAUCAGCAUAUUACAGGCACUGUGCGUAGAUUCUUCUGUAGCACAGCUGGCUGGCAGGUAUUUCACAGAGUUAAAGGUCAUAAGUUCUUUUGUGUGUCAAGCUACAAUUUCCACAUAGAUCAGAUAUCUUUGACGUCUGUAUUCGCACACACCACUUAUAAGUCCUUGCCGAUGACAGCUGCAGAGCUCAGAAUUAGCUGGCUAGCUAAAAGCACAUGACCUGAUUUUUUCUUUUGUGCUGUCCACCACCACUAGCUAUUAUUUGAUUCAGGCACAAUUGUCCAAAUGUUGAUAAGCAGUGACAGAUUUAUGGCCAGAGGAGGAAAAACGUGAAGUGCUGAGGCUUGGCAAGGUAGUCUAGAUAAAAAAGCAUCUGCUCCUCUCUUGGGAGGUAGGAAAUAAAGGUUUGAUUUCUCUCUGUGCA
Molecule: long non-coding RNA, 1089 nt
Filed under: Anser brachyrhynchus (Pink-footed goose)
Lineage: Eukaryota; Metazoa; Chordata; Aves; Anseriformes; Anatidae
Description: lncRNA (ENSABRG00000001022.1)
Source: RNAcentral